Molecule: unclassified non-coding RNA, 6957 nt
Filed under: Leishmania donovani
Lineage: Eukaryota; Euglenozoa; Kinetoplastea; Trypanosomatida; Trypanosomatidae
Description: gene:LdHU3.32.1500(CDS-product:HECT-domain_(ubiqu itin-transferase)_putative)
Source: RNAcentral
UCGAGCUAAGUGAUUGUACUUCUUCGCUGCGUACGGGUUCACGAUCUCUCUCCUCUUUUUUGUUUUUGAAUAUUUGCACUCGUGUCAUCGGCGUUCCCGUCUAUCACGCAAGCCAGACGAGCACGCCUUCACUCUCCCCCUCCUUCAUCUUCUUCCACACCCCAGGGGUGAUCCAUUUUGCAAGCUGUGGGCCUCCCCACAGUGCGUGUCCGUGUGUCUGAGGGCCUUUUCACGCCUAGCGAGGGUAUCCUCUACGGACACACGAAGCGGCGCCUCUCAGUCGAGCAGAGAGGCCCUCGAUUUUCCACUCUCGCUCGCCCUGUGGGGUGCAUACGUGAAACGGCACCCCUGCGAAACUGUGUGGUUGCCGUGCGUGCGCCAUCGACAGCUGUGUCGAUCCCUUGCUUUUUUUUUGUUUGCGCCGUAUAGGUGGGCCGUAGCUAACGAGGCUCGUUGUCGACCCUCUCUCUCUCUGGUGUAAGGUGGGCGGCUGUCGCCACUGCACAGAGGCGUAGAAGUGAGCAUCGCUUGCUGAAGAUAUCCCUUCAAUGCUAUUCCGCUAAGGACCCCUCCUCGUCAGUCGCCCUCGUCACCACGCGCGCUCAUCGUUUUGAUUUUUCUUUGUCUUCGCCUCGUUUGUGUGUAUCUCCUUCUGCAUCAGGGGUCUUAAUUCGCAGAAGACCAGAGCUGCCUGGCAGGUCCCCACUCCCCUCACCCCCUCCUCUCCUUCCCUUUCACUGUCUUGCCUUCUUCCUUGGUCUUACCGCCUUCAUUGGCCCCCGCUUCUUAGACUUCAUCUGGCGACCUGUUGCCCUCUGUCGCUGAGGUGCAGGUCGCUUGGAGACUUUCGCUAAUUUAUCCGCGAGGUCGUUGUCUGCGAGUCACGCUGCUGAUAUUCUAUUUUGUGGACUCUCGGUUCUCUCAACUGCUUCCGUCUGACGUUGCUGCCGUGCAAGUGCAUCGUGUUGCCUCGCGUGCUCUCGCUCGCGUUGCCAUCUCCUGCGGUGUUGUUGUCGAGCGACAAGGUCAUUCCGUUUUUCUGUUGUUGUUGAUUGCUUUUCAGCCCACCCGUCUCCCUCCCCCUCUGCGUUUCCUCGUAUACCCUGCCUUGACGGCUGCUGGUGCAGAUUCUUGUGCGCCACUCUGAGCACCCCUCAGCCACGAUACAUUCCGUGUGACGUGCUCACCCUAGACGCGAAAACAUGGACGGCUUUCGCUUUUACAUGGAGGGGAUCGGCCUGCCGGAGGGGAACACGCGGCGUGCGAACGCUGAGCUUAUCGGCGCCAUCAACAGCCCUGACCCAACGGUCCAGCACAGCGGCUUGCAGAUGUUGUGCGAUCAACUCACGAUGAGCUCCUUCAUUUCGCCGUCCACGAUGGCCACUAUCCCGCUUGUUUUACCGUCGCUGCUUCGGUGCAUCGCGUCGUCGCAGGUGCGCGAGGUGUUCAUCACGGCAGCCCGCGCCCUCACCUACAUCAUUGAUGCUUUUCCUCGCACCUUCGAGACGUUCCCAACUCGUCACACCUUGAUCGAAGUGCUGCUGCAGCACCUCCGCUCCAUCCAGGAUGUGGAGCUGUCGGAGCAGUGCAUCACCUGCUUGGAGAUGAUCACGCGGAGCCAGAUGGGAAGCCGCGAGCUGCUGCACAACGACGGCGUCGAGGCGGUGCUUGGCUUCGCCGACUUCUUCACACUGCACAAGCAGCGUCAAAUUUGGACCAUUGUGCAACGGCUCGUCGGCGAGGUGGACGAGAGCAGCGUGCGGCAUAUUACUGCUUGCCUUCCCACACUGCGAAUCGGCAUGACAAACGGCGACUCCGAGAUACGUCAAAAGGCGAUCGCCACACUGGCACAGGCCAUCGAAGGCGUCAAGACGGAUCGAGCCACCGUCGAGACCGUGUUCGGCGACGCGGCAGACCGCAUCGCAGUCCUCCUACACGAGCGUGACGUCAACGACGACACGCUGUCGUCGGCGCUGUCCCUGUUGUUCGCAGGUGUGCAGUGGAGCGCCGGCAUCGCCGCCUCGGUGAUCCAAAGCGACCUAUUCAACACGCUGCUCUCCUUACUGCAACCAGCGCCGGUUCCCGCGGUAGUGGCGGAGCAGCACGCCGCCCCAUCGGCGGCUGGAAGGGUUGCUCGCCGCAGCGCGGCGGCCGAACUGGUAGUGAGACGUGACUCCGGAAUGGACUCUGGUGGGGGCGCCGGUACUGAGCCAGCAGCUGCGCGGACGACGAUGCUCACCUCGCACCAGCGCACCAUUGUGUGCCGGCUAUUGGCCUCUCUGUUGAUUCCGUGCAGGACCGGCGCUACUGAGCAGCUUGAGCGGCUGGAGAUGCUGACACAGCGGCCACUGCUCACUGGCGCCAUGGCCCAUGGCAAUCGGUCGGGCAUGGACGACGGUGAUGACGAAGAUGAGGACUACACGACGGAAGAGGACGAGGACGGGGAGCAGAUGCAUGACUUCGACGAUGAUAGCGAUGCCGACGCGACUCUGACGCACCUACGCGAGAGGGUAGCGCAGGAGCAGGGCCUCAAGAUUGAGACCAAGGCGGCGUACGCCCGGUGCCGUGCCUCCGGUUUUAUGUGCGAUGGAUGCGGGAAGAACUGCACCCCCGGUGACUGGUACCGGUGCAACGAGUGCCCCGACAAAGACUAUUGCACUGCCUGCGUUUUGGAGCACUACAAGGACGACCACGGUGGCCAGCACAGCUACACAGAUAUGGAGCAGGUAGUGGGGGCCGCGGCGCGCAAUCGGGACAAGCUGGAGCUGUACCGCAAGUCGCCUCAGCUGCUCCAGCGCGUCUUGGAAGCCAUUCCCACCGUUGUCUGCGUGUGCGUCUCCUCUGAGCUUGUUGCGGUGCGGACGUCGUGCCUCGACUUUCUCGUUAGCGCGGUUGACAUGGCCUCCACGGAGCAGCUUCUCGCAAGCGACAUCACAAAGGUCUCGCUCGGUGAGUCUCUAAACAACAAUCUUCGCGGCGCCGAUCUUGUCUGCAAUGCUCUUGCGGUUGCUCUGGCGGGACGGCUGCUGCAAAAGCUGAGUGGCAUCUAUCAAGUGCAGUUCGCGCGCGAGGGCGUGAAGCUGAGCCUGCAAGUGCUGAAGCAGCGCUGCAAGGUGAAGGGGAGGACGACACUCACGCGUGAGGCGCGCACAACCCUGACAACCUGCACUGCCGGGUGGAGCACCAUCAUCGGCACCGAGGCGUCAAUACUGCUCCAGCGCUUCCUCGACGUCGAGGAUGAGCAGGCAACCGAGCCCCUGCGUCGCGUGGUCGAGGAGCUCCGUCAAGACCACUUCAGCAUCGCGAUUGGCCUGCUGCGUGACGUGCUCGCUGGUGACGUUACGGCGUUUGAGUUUUUCUCGAGCGGCGUUGUGCGGGAGCUGCGAAACUGCUUAAGCCGCCAGCAGAACAUCUACGCAGUGAUGCACCUGGUCGCUGCGCUCUCCACGUCUCCGGCCGCGACGAGAGGUGGGAAAGCGAAAAAGAGUGCCGGGGUGGCGCCGACGUUGGCUGCCACCACCGCUGGGCGGGUGGGUCAAGGCAGUGGUAGUCUGCUCUCCCACUUUGUGCACCACCUACACACAAUACUGACGCUCCUCGACGACUUUACCGUGCCCACGUACGACUUCAUCGGCGGCGUUCACAACUACUUUGUCGUUUCCUUCGAGCCUCACCGCGCGUCUGUCGCAGUCGCUGGCGACACGACGGCAGACACUUCCACUCCCAGUGCACGCGGCGACGGCGACAGCUCUGUUUCGCCGCGGCAGUGCAUCAAGGCCCGCAUUCGACCCAUCUCUAGUGUCAGCGCCAUGGCGCAAGUUCUGCAGCAGGAGGUGCUGCAGCAGGAGAGCGAGGACGGAGACAACGGCGACGGCGAAGAAGGCGAAGCCGUGACAAACGUCCUGCCCGAUUUGCACCCGCGGCACUCCCCUAUGUCCCGCGACGCAGAAACACCAAUGCCAGCUGCUCCCUCGUCCCCUGCUUCAGCACCAGCGAACAGCAACGUAUGGAUUCGCUAUGGCACACAUGUGCUGCCGCUGUCGAUGACGAUGCUGCAGAUCAUGGAGCACCUCGUCCUUCCUGCCGCGGCGGCCUCCGAAAAUGAGGCGCGAGGCAGCCACCGCGACAACGCCGAAAGAAGGGCGAAGCCGCGUCACCAGCGGCGCGGAAAGCCCCACGACACCACCGCUCCAGAGGAGGGGGCACACGAGGAGGAGGAAGCCCGGCACGGUGCUCACAGCCGUCUCGUUCCGCUGGACACAUCGACCGCCGCUGGGUACUCGCUGCAGCGACCUGUCGUACUGUACUACAGCACCACCCCAUACAACCCGCAGUACUACUCCUUGUACAAGGUUCCCAAUGCAUUCCCUGCCAGCGGCAAUCCGCAGGCACCGCUGCAGGUGCGCCUGCCGUCGCAGGACCGUAAGCCGAGCGCAGUGCGGGAUGUUCAAGAGCAGCUUGCUGGUGCCUUCCACUACAGCAAGCACGUGCUCUCCGACAGCCAGCGGGAUGUACUGGGGCUGCUGGGCACGCUGCACGCCGCGGUAGCAAACUGGGCGGUGCUUCUCAACUAUGUGCGAACGCAAGCCGCUGCAGAAUCGAAACAUCUGCGCGGCGUCGACGUCGCAUGCAUUCUGAACACCUUUGCCCCUGCCAUCUCCAUCGCUGAGUUUCAGCACGCGAAGCUCAACAGCAAAGCAAUUCAGCAGUGCUCUCAGAUGCUGCUGGCUGGCCAGCAACGUGGCACGUGGGCAGUAAAACUUGCACUGGAUUGCACCUACCUUUUUAGCUACUCGACGCGCAAGUUUCUCUUCGACGUCGGCUUCACGUCGACGGAUCGCUGCUUGAUUCAGAUGCGCAAAUACAGGGAACUGUUCGGCUUGAAUGAGCCGCGGAUGUCGAGUGAGCAAAUGCGGGGCAUCUACGGUCAGCUCAAGAAGGAGACGAAGCGGGUGUGGCGUGAGGACGUCUUGGAGUGCGCGAAGAAGGUGCUUAGCGCGCAGGACGCACGGGCGCGGAACCUUGUCUGGAGCUUUCACUUCUACAACGAAAAUGGCUGGGGCGAUGGCCCGACGCGCGAGUUCUACACCCUCGUCAGCCAAGAGCUGCGACAGCGCAAGCUGGGACUCUGGCGCGACGGCAACGAGGCCGCCGAUGAUAAUGAGUACAAUACCGCCUCCUAUGGUCUGUUCCCGAAACCGGUGCUGCCGGGGUCGGCUCAGGAGAAGGACCACCUGGUACCUUUCUUCCGUCUUAUUGGCCGCUUUAUCGGCCGUGCCCUCGUUGACGAGCACGUGCCCGGCCUCCCGCUCUCACCGGUCUUCCUCCGCCUCUUGCGCGGUGACGUGUGCGGGAUCCACGAUGUGCAGGACCUCAGCGAGGAGGUCGGGCGUCUGCUGGUUGCUAUGGCGGGAGCCGCCGCGAGUGGGCACACGCGCGUGCAGCUGCCAGGGCAGACGAAAGCGGUGGAGGUGCAGGACCUCGCCCUCGACUUCACGCUCCCGGGGGACGACAGCGUGGAGCUGUGUGCGGAUGGGGCGAAGACGGCAGUGACGGCGAACAACAUGAUGGCCUACUGUGACGCCGUGACGAGCUUUUUGCUCGAUCGCGGGGUUGCCGCGGCGGUCCAUGCUCUCCGCGAGGGCUUCCACUGGUACAUACCGCUAGUGGCGUUGCAGAUGCUCAGCGUGGACGAGUUGUACCAGCUCAUCGCUGGCCACGAGACUGCAAUCACGCGCGACGACUUUGAGAAGUACAGCGAGGCGAAUUACGGGUACACCCUUAACUGCAAGCAUGUACAGUGGCUCUUUGACAUCCUGGCCGCCUUCACGGUGGAGGAGCAGAAGCAGUUCUUUUUUUUCCUCACCGGCUCUGCGCACCUCCCUGUUGGCGGCCUGGGUCGACUGCGGCCGUCCUUUACCAUUGUGCGGAAAACGUCCGAGGAUGCCAGCAUCAAGGAAGAGGACAUGCUGCCAUCCGCCAUGACGUGCCAGAAUUACUUGAAGCUGCCGCAGUACAACACGAAAGAAGAGAUGGAGAAAAAGCUUCGCUUCGCCAUGACCGAGGGCAGCGGUGUGUUCUUGCUCUCCUAGAUACCUCAGCGGUUGCCCCAGGCCGUGGAAGCAGCUAUAUAUGAAAGUAUAGAUGUUUGUCAUCGAGUGUGCCUGGUCUCUCGACUUGCUCUUCUUUGAUCUGGUUGUUGCGGACACUUUUCGGGGGUUUAUUUUUGUCUUUUGUUUCCUGUAACGCUGCCGUCGUGGUGGCCUUUUCGGCAGACCUCUUUGGUGCCAGCCUUCGGGUGUUGCUGUUCGAGGCGGAAGAGAGAACUUUUGAGUGAGAGAGAGUGCGGUGGGGGGGGGGGGCGGUGGUGCCCGCUACCUGCUCUUCCUCCCUCCUGGUGAGUUUACCGGUGACAAUCAACGUAUUCUAUCGCACUCUCUCAUGGUGCAACUCCCUCCACAAUGAACUGACACACACGGACGCAAACAUCUAUUCCGAUUCAUGUGGACGUCCCUGCGUGGUUCUAGCGGGGGAGGGGGGCAGCCGGGGCGCCUCAGCCGCUUGGGUGAGCGUGUCCUUUCGCUUCUCCUGGUUGCCAUGCUGACCCAGGUGGCGGAUGGCGAAACUCCCACAGAGAGACACAUCAGACUCUGUCGGCGGUGCUCGAUUCACCGUUGACGAGGCCGAACUUCCGUCUUGGCACUAGGCUGCGCACCUACGUCUGUGCUCUGUUGAGGGGGCAUGCCGCUUGGCAUACUUGUGAACACGCUCUCCUUGCCUCUUCUACUGUACGCCUGUACGCUCCACCUUCCUUCUCUCUCGCUCCUCCCUCAUUGGCUCUCUGUCGUGCGCUCGGCGCACGUUCCAUGCUCCCGCCGUCCCCUCCGCCCUCCCCACCUCACCCCGCGCCUUUCCUGCCUUUUCAUGUCCCUCUGAGCUCUAUGCUCUUUGCACGAG